This is a long non-coding RNA of Symphalangus syndactylus (siamang), 450 nucleotides long. RefSeq lists it as uncharacterized. The record is from RefSeq and is a predicted model, not a curated record. NCBI's taxonomy places the organism in Eukaryota, Metazoa, Chordata, Mammalia, Primates, Hylobatidae.
AGAUAGGUCAUGUGAGGAAGGCAGCCAUUUGCAAGCCAGGAAGAGAGGACACCAACCCUGGGAACAUCUGAUCUUGGAGUUCAGCCUCCAGAACUAUUAUAAGCUCCUGGAGGUCAAGGAUCUGUCCUGCUUUGAUACUUAGAAAGACUCACAAGGCACAAACCUCAGGUUGGAUUCCUUGAAAACAGAUAACACCGGAAACCCACACAAUUUUUAAGCAAUCAUGUCAGAUUACAUGUAAAGGGAUAGACAAAAAAAAAAAAAAAGAAGAGACUGCUAUAUCAAGUGUCAGCAAACCAGGGCCUAUAUACCAAAUCCAGCCCACCACCUGUUUUUUUACUAUACAUUUAAUAAGCGACAUUGUCACCUCAUAUACCUAUUAACUCCGGAAUACCAGGCUGCCGCAAGACUCAUGUUGACAACUACAUCUACAGGAACAAGAUCUGCAAG